GACAGAGGUGCCGAGCGUUUAGGCGGAAUCACUGGGCUUAAAGCGUGUGUAGGCGGAUCGUUAAGUGUCUUGUGAAAUCCCCCGGCUCAACCGGGGAACUGCUGGGCAUACUGGCGAUCUUGAGCGGCCUAGGGGCAGAUGGAACAAGUGGUGGAGCGGUGAAAUGCGUAGAUAUCACUUGGAACGCCAAAGGUGAAAACAGUCUGCUGGGGGCCUGCUGACGCUGAGACACGAAAGCCAUGGGAGCGAACGGG
This 254-nucleotide ribosomal RNA is filed under the name uncultured bacterium. Its description in RNAcentral is "partial 16S ribosomal RNA". It matches the Rfam family "Bacterial small subunit ribosomal RNA", at positions 524 to 776 of the family's 1533-position model. The record is from RNAcentral.